This 863-nucleotide ribosomal RNA is filed under the name Prorocentrum minimum. RNAcentral describes it as "partial Bacterial large subunit ribosomal RNA". It matches the Rfam family "Bacterial large subunit ribosomal RNA", at positions 1783 to 2692 of the family's 2925-position model. Lineage: Eukaryota; Dinophyceae; Prorocentrales; Prorocentraceae. The record is from RNAcentral.
GGGUGCAACCGAAUGACUGUUUAGCAAAAACAUAGUAGACAGGUUUAAGAUUUUUAAUAGUUGUGAAUGAUGUUUGACCAGUGCUUGUGGAAACAAGUAAACGUUGGCUGUAACUAUAACCGUCCGAAGGUAGCAAAGUUCCUUGUCACCUAAGUAGUGACCCGCAUGAAAGAUUUAACGGUUUGGUUUGUGUCCUGUGGGUAUGUUAUGGUGAAACACUAUACUACGUGAAGAUACGUGUAAUAUUAGGAUGGGACAAAAAGACCCUGAGAAGCUUUAUUGGGAGAGAGAACCAGAGGUGUUGAUAGCGGGGAUAUAUACUAGUGUAAGUGGGUAUAUUUUUCAGCAUCACCGCAUUGCCAAGCAUGCAAAACCCUGCCUUCGGAGCGGGUGCUUUCUUUUAGAGGAGCAACAAUCAUCUUUAGCAUCACCAUUGGAUAUGUAGGCAAGCAUUCGGUGUGGGGCUAUUUUAUUGGGGCUAUGCCUUUAUGUAAGUCAAUAAUAGGGUGCCAAGAGAACAUACUGGAAGAGAGCAGUGUUUUUAGCAAGGGCAUAUCAUGGGACAUUUGAAUGUGGGGGUAUAGUAGUGAAGGUUGUAGUCAGCAUUAGUGAACUUAAGUGUAACGUAUCAGAUAACAGCUACUCCUUGGAUAACAGGCUUAUAUAGGCUGACAGAUCGCAUGGAGGCAUAUCAUUGGCACCUCGAUGUCGGCUUGUCUCUUCUAGUAUAUUGAUUAGUAUAACUAGUGUGGUUGCUCAUCACAUAGUCAGGCAAGUGAGCUGGGUUCAGAACGAUGUAAAUCAGUUUGGUCUAUAUCUUUAUUGGUGUUGCGAGAAAGUAUAGUAUAGCAGUACGCAAGGAC